CGCGUAGGCUGUUUGAUAAGUCAGACGUGAAAUCCUUCGGCUCAACCGGAGAACUGCGUUUGAUACUGUUAGACUCGAGUCCCGGAGAGGGUGGCGGAAUUCCAGGUGUAGGAGUGAAAUCCGUAGAUAUCUGGAGGAACACCGGUGGCGAAGGCGGCCACCUGGACGGGUACUGACGCUGAGGCGCGAAAGCGUGGGGAGCAAACAGGAUUAGAUACCCUGGUAGUCCACGCGGUAAACGAUGGAUGCUAGGUGUCGGGGAGCGAUCUUCGGCGCCGCAGCUAACGCAUUAAGCAUCCCGCCUGGGGAGUACGGUCGCAAGGCUGAA
RNAcentral lists this ribosomal RNA (328 nucleotides) under uncultured bacterium. Its description in RNAcentral is "bacterial SSU rRNA". It matches the Rfam family "Bacterial small subunit ribosomal RNA", at positions 568 to 898 of the family's 1533-position model. The record is from RNAcentral.